RNAcentral lists this ribosomal RNA (253 nucleotides) under uncultured bacterium. RNAcentral's name for it is "partial 16S ribosomal RNA". It matches the Rfam family "Bacterial small subunit ribosomal RNA", at positions 524 to 776 of the family's 1533-position model. The record is from RNAcentral.
UACGUAGGGGGCAAGCGUUGUCCGGAAUCAUUGGGCGUAAAGCGCGUGUAGGCGGCUAGGUAAGUCUGCUCUGAAAGCCCGGGGCUCAACCCCGGGAGGCGGGUGGAUACUGUCUAGCUCGAGUCCGGAAGAGGAGUGUGGAAUUCCUGGUGUAGCGGUGAAAUGCGCAGAUAUCAGGAGGAACACCAAUGGCGAAGGCAGCACUCUGGGCCGGUACUGACGCUGAGGAGCGAAAGCGUGGGGAGCAAACAGG